This 908-nucleotide long non-coding RNA is filed under the name Solanum tuberosum (potato). Its description in RNAcentral is "long non-coding RNA (STUB_LNC007493)". Lineage: Eukaryota; Viridiplantae; Streptophyta; Magnoliopsida; Solanales; Solanaceae. The record is from RNAcentral.
GGGGAAUCAAGCUACUAAACCAUACUAUGAAGGUGUGGGAGAGAGUGGUGGAGAUGAGAGUAAGGAGGGAUGUGGCUAUUUUCGAGAACCAGAUCGGAUUCAUGCCGGGGCACGCUACUACAUAAAUCAUUUGUCUCGUAAGGAGGGAGGAAGUAGGACUUUCAUAUGCUUAGAAGCUAGCUCAAGAUAUAUUCUUUUGGAAAUUGGUUUUGUGCUUCAAGGAGAUAUCAAUUACUGAGAUAAUCUGUCAGGAAAGAGUUUAUAGUGACAAAUUACACAGUUAUACUUACAUAUAUUAGAAAAUUCACACAUGAGAUGAUUACGGAAGUAAUCACCUUGCUAUAGGUAAAUAAAAAAAGUUUCUAUAAGUAGUAUUGUAGGCGUAUAAAUGUUGAGGAGGUUCAGGGUUCUAUUCGUUGGAUGCGUAUGGUUAAAACGGCCAGGCCAGACGAGGUCCCAGAGGAGUUUUAGAAGAGCACAGUCAGGGCAGGUAUGGUGUAGCUUGUUUAAUCUUGUUUUCAAGACAGCGAGGAUGCCCAGAGUAUGAAGAUGGAGUACAAUGAUUCUGUUGUACAAGAACAAGGCUGACAUUUAGAAUUUUAAAAACUAUUGGGGAAUCAAGCUACUAAACCAUACUAUGAAGGUGUGGGAGAGAGUGGUGGAGAUGAGAGUAAGGAGGGAUGUGGCUAUUUUCGAGAACCAGUUUGGAUUCAUAUCGGGACUUUCUACUACAAAAGUCAUUCAUCUCAUAAGGUGGGGAAGAAGGACCUAUAUAUGGUUAGAAGCUAGCUCAAGAUAUAUUCUUUUGGAAAUUGGUUUUGUGCUUCAAGGAGAUAUCAAUUACUGAGAUAAUCUGUCAGGAAAGAGUUUAUAGUGACAAAUUACACAGUUAUACUUACAUAUAUUAG